CCUACGGGAGGCAGCAGUGAGGAAUAGUGGUCAAUGGGCGCGAGCCUGAACCAGCCAAGUAGCGUGAAGGAUGACUGCCCUACGGGUUGUAAACUUCUUUUAUAAAGGAAUAAAGUGAGGCACGUGUGCCUUUUUGUAUGUACUUUAUGAAUAAGGAUCGGCUAACUCCGUGCCAGCAGCCGCGGUAAUACGGAGGAUCCGAGCGUUAUCCGGAUUUAUUGGGUUUAAAGGGAGCGUAGAUGGGUUGUUAAGUCAGUUUUGAAAGUUUGCGGCUCAACCAUAAAAUUGCAAUUGAUACGGGCAGUCUUGAGUACAGUUGCGGUAGGCGGAAUUCGUGGUGUAGCGGUGAACUUCUUCGCUCUCAC
Molecule: ribosomal RNA, 365 nt
Filed under: uncultured bacterium
Lineage: Bacteria
Description: partial 16S ribosomal RNA
Rfam family: Bacterial small subunit ribosomal RNA
Source: RNAcentral